CUGGGGUCAGGACAUAGUGCAGGAGCAGGAUCAGGGCUCAGGGUCAAGGCUCAAUGUGCAACUGCAGUCAGGACACAGUGUGGGGUGAAGGUUGGGGCUCAGCUAGCACCAGAGUAGAGGCUGUGUCCAGGUUAAGACUGUAACGCAAGACAGAAAACACACACAGCCAUACGAGGCCACUGUCAGCCGUGCUGGGUAUCUUUAUUUAUUAAGCUUUAUUUUCUGUAGAAGCAAGGUUUUGCUAUGCUGUCCAGGCUGGUCUCGAACUCCUGGCCUCAAGUGAUCUUCCUGCCUCAGCCUCCCAAAGUGCUGUGAUUACAGGCAUGAGCCACUGUGCCCAGGCCAUGGUGGGUAUUUUUAAUGGACAAGAACCCAGAAUGAAGAUCUACAGAGGCUUCCUGGAGGUGGUGGGACUGAGGUCAUCUGGUUUGGCAGGAUGGAAGGCCAGCUUUCCCAGGGUGGAACCAUCAGAGUGGAGGGAGGCCAGGCGUGCGCAGAAGGCAGCUGGACAUGUGGCUACACCUCAGGUUCUUUCAUAGACAAGUUACUGACACAUUGCUGGCUCCAGGGGAAAACGCAAAACGAGGAAAAGGCCCCUCUCCCUGCUCUCAGGGAUGCUGUAGUCUUUUGACUCUCGGCUGUGCCAGAGCUUCCCCGGAAGCUCCUGGGACCAGCAUGCCUCCCACUCAAGCCAGUCAGCCAGCAUCUUGCUCCUGGGACAGGCUUUGGGCUGGGGGGCUGAAAGCAGCGGUGCCUGCCACGCCCGAGAAGCAGGCUCCAACUCACGUGCUCGUCAGCAGCCGCACUGCUGCCUGCUUUGUCAUUUUAUGCUUAUGUAAAAAAAUACUUUUUGCAAGAAAAAUCUACAGGUACAAAAUGUCAUCCCAGCCCCAUACAGUACCAAGUAAUAUAUAGGCAUAUAUAUAUAUAUAUAUAUAUUUAUGUAUUUAUAACAGAAAAUUGGAUAGAAAUUAUUCCA
RNAcentral lists this long non-coding RNA (979 nucleotides) under Homo sapiens (human). RNAcentral describes it as "HSALNT0145138". The record is from RNAcentral. Lineage: Eukaryota; Metazoa; Chordata; Mammalia; Primates; Hominidae.